This 151-nucleotide small nuclear RNA is filed under the name Theobroma cacao (cacao). RNAcentral describes it as "snRNA U4". It matches the Rfam family "U4 spliceosomal RNA". Rfam says of the family: U4 small nuclear RNA (U4 snRNA) is a component of the major U2-dependent spliceosome. The structure of U4 snRNA from yeast and human has been reported. The record is from Rfam by way of RNAcentral. Lineage: Eukaryota; Viridiplantae; Streptophyta; Magnoliopsida; Malvales; Malvaceae.
AUCUUUGCGCUUGGGGCAAUGACGCAGCUAGUGAGGUUCUAACCGAGGCGCGUCUAUUGCUGGUUGAAAACUUUUUCCAAACCCCCUCUUAGGCUUGGGUUCAGCCUUGUCCUUCGAGAAUUUCUGGAAGUGCUUCCUUUGGGGUAGAGCU